This 557-nucleotide ribosomal RNA is filed under the name uncultured Staphylococcus sp. RNAcentral's name for it is "bacterial SSU rRNA". It matches the Rfam family "Bacterial small subunit ribosomal RNA", at positions 66 to 599 of the family's 1533-position model. Lineage: Bacteria; Bacillati; Bacillota; Bacilli; Caryophanales; Staphylococcaceae. The record is from RNAcentral.
UUUCUGGUCAGUGGCUGACACUCAUGUGUCACUGAGGGGGGAUCCGGACGGAUGAGAUACCCUGGGAUUCCCUACCGAAAAGAAUGAGUGCUAUUUGGGAAGGGGUUUCCGCCACUGGAUGCUGUUUUGAACGCAUUGGUUCAUCCGCCAGGGAAGGACUAGCUGUCGGUUGAAAAUGGAUUGACUUGACGGAAUCACUAUGGAAGUCGCACCGCUUACCAAGGCAACGAUGCAUAGCCGACCUGAGAGGGUGAUCGGCCACACUGGAACUGAGACACGGUCCAGACUCCUACGGGAGGCAGCAGUAGGGAAUCUUCCGCAAUGGGCGAAAGCCUGACGGAGCAACGCCGCGUGAGUGAUGAAGGUCUUCGGAUCGUAAAACUCUGUUAUUAGGGAAGAACAUAUGUGUAAGUAACUGUGCACAUCUUGACGGUACCUAAUCAGAAAGCCACGGCUAACUACGUGCCAGCAGCCGCGGUAAUACGUAGGUGGCAAGCGUUAUCCGGAAUUAUUGGGCGUAAAGCGCGCGUAGGCGGUUUUUUAAGUCUGAUGUGAAA